RNAcentral lists this transfer RNA (74 nucleotides) under bacterium. RNAcentral's name for it is "tRNA-Arg". It matches the Rfam family "tRNA". Rfam says of the family: Transfer RNA (tRNA) molecules are approximately 80 nucleotides in length. The record is from RNAcentral. RNAcentral also lists the same sequence under 3 other names.
GAUUCCAUAGCUCAGCUGGAUAGAGCACUUCCCUCCUAAGGAAGGGGUCGCGCGUUCGAAUCGCGCUGGGAUCA